Scylla paramamosain (green mud crab) is the source of this 3292-nucleotide long non-coding RNA. RefSeq lists it as uncharacterized. The record is from RefSeq and is a predicted model, not a curated record. The transcript has 6 exons. NCBI's taxonomy places the organism in Eukaryota, Metazoa, Arthropoda, Malacostraca, Decapoda, Portunidae.
UACUCUCUCCUCGCCGUCUCCUCAGCCAUUCGCCCUGCGCCCGCUGACGUGACGAGUCCCCGGUUGUGUUACGGCGGUGAAGCGGUGUUGCGUCUGUCCCUGGCGGGCAUGUUGUGGUGGACUGCGGUGUGGAGGGAGAGGUGGAUGCCUUCUCUCCCCUUCCCUCCCUCCCUGCUCCCUUCCUAGCCUGCCCGCCACCCUCUCCCCGCUUUUCCCUGCCUGUCCUCCCCUGCUCCUCGUGUCCCAGGUGACCCAUGAACUACCUCUAACAAUGGUGAUGAAGAACCAGAAGUGGGUUGUAGGUGACGAGAUAACUAUCCCAGGUCAUCCCGGAAGUGGCGAGGUGACCCCAUACAGCUCCACAAGGUCGUGGAGGACACCAGACAUAGCCACGUGGUCGCCUACACUCAGCCAUCCACCUCACCUGCCCCAGACUGCUACCCGGACACCAUCCAGCCACAAGAACCCAGAUAAGCACUUCCGGGGUCCUUGGUUGUGGUUAGCUAGCUAGUUUGUUUAGGGGUCACUUGCUGUACAUAGGAACCCUCCUCGGUCUGAUGCUAUUUUUUUUUAUUUUUAUUUUUGAGGUGUAACGCUGUGCUCUACGUGAGAGUGAUAGUGUUUAUCUUUAUUUAUUUUUUUUUUUUCCUGAAGACCAGUUCUGAUGUUAUCUUGGAGGUUAACGGAGAAGAGUUCUUCACAACUGUGUUUGUUGUUUUAUUUUAUUUUUUUAUUGGUCACUUUUUGUUUUUUGUUGUGAUUGUUAUUAAUUUUAUUUAUUUGUAUUGAAAUAUGUGAGUGUGAAUGCAGCACAAUAUAUAAAGGUGUGCAUUCCAGAGUGAAAGGAAGGCGUGCACAGGGUAGAGUGCACAGGAUGCAGUGCCUUGUUUUUAUCACCAGACCUUGAUUGACUGAAGCAAAUGAAAACUUUGGUGUGAGUACCUUACAAAGACACUUGACAAUACUAAUGUCACCUCACCUCGUGGUUUCACCUUAAACCUACAAACAUUGGCUGGACACAAGGUCAUAGAAAUAAUUUAUUCUCAUUUAUUCUCAUCUUUACAAAUUACAGUCUUUACACAUCAAAGUAACUAAUCACCUUUAUUCAUCCACUUGAGGGGGUUGAAGGAUCGCUAAUCCAAUAUUAAAUUGCCUGUGUUCAACUCGCCUCUCCUCCCUCAUUUAUUGACCUAUUCAUUUAAAAAAUAUUUUGAUCAGGAAGGUUGCAAGAAGAAUGUCUGCUAUCUUUUUUUUUUGUACGAUAAGUUUUUUUUUCGAUGAAAAAAGUAAAAAAAAAAACUGUGUCAAAUAUUUACUUUCAAAUAUGUCAGAAAUCAAAAUCAGUUACAAACAAAAAUGACGACAGCAGACUUUGUUCGCCUCUCACAGCUUGAUAAGCCGCAAUGGCCCAUCUGUGUGUAACACCAAUAACAACGGAGAUCAUUUUUAUAUGCCAAAAUCCGCCAUUUUAAGUUAUGUCAAAGUUUAAGGGGUGACUAUAAUACACCUAUUGCAGCUAAGGACUUGAAAUUCACAUGAUAUAUACAUCACAAUAUGUUGAAAAACAGAUAUAGAUUAAUUUAGUUACUACGAUCGGUUUUGUACAUAGGCCUAAAGUAAUUCAUGAUUUCACCCUUAAUUCCCCGGGGGGGAGGGGGGAAGGCGGGUGAAAACAAUUUUUGUUAUAUUUCGACUUUUAGAUCAAAACCAGUGUUUAACUGUUUGAAAUAAAUAAAAUAUUAAUGCAAAAGAUAUCUAAUGCAGACACAUUGACUAUUUCCUAGAUUUACGGAAAAAUAUUUAUCUCAUUUUUCGUAUAUAAAUUUGAAAAAAAUAGUUAGACCUAAAAUUACGUACUCUCUAAUGUUGUACGCAGCAAAAGAACCAUAGAUAUUCAUAGGAGACUGAGGAAGAACGGGUACGCCAGAAAGAAAAAAAAAAAAAAAGUCAUGUCUCGCAGCGGGUGAAACCGUGAAAUUUCAUAACAGAAGACCUCAUUACAUUAGGGGAUAUAUAUAUAUAUAUAUAUAUAUAUAUAUAUAUAUAUAUAUAUAUAUAUAUAUAUAUAUAUAUAUAUAUAUAUAUAUAUAUCAAAACAUUACAUAUAUAAAAAAUGGGAAAAAAAAUGUAGAAAAUAAAAAAAUAAAAAAAAAAUUCAUAUCCGGAUCGUACAACGACACCCUUGAUGCAAAACAUGUUUGCGCGCCUGACGAUGUUAAGACACACGACACACACUUCCCUUGAGAAAAGAUGAUAGCCUUCACGAGUGUCUUACUAUUUCUUUGCAGAGCCCCUCUUCUUGAUGACGACGCGUACACUGUCAGCUACACUUUGCAGUGUCUCACUUAAAUUUUUCUCUAUCUUUGUAUCUCUCCAUUUCAGAUAAAUUGUUAUCUUUCCAAGGGUUGAGGAGAACAUGGUCGUGGUUCAAGUGAAGCCACUACAGCCACUCCCUGACAAGCCUUCCACACCGACAGACAGUGGCAGCAGACACACAAGAGACGAUGGUGUGGUGGACAAGAGGAUGCAGGGAGACAGCAGACAGAAUGGAAGUUACAGAUGAAAGAAGAGCAGGUCAAGCCAUGGCAGCAGACACAUAGACAGACAGAUUGGAUAAGAAAGAAGUAUUAUUUAGUGAGACAGGACCACUGGAAGCUGUCAGAGUGCUGUGGCACGUGGCAAGAACCAAGUGUUCAGGAGCACACACUGUCCCUUUACCAGUCAGCAGGUCUGGGCGGCUUGGAAGCCUCACUACAAACUGAAGACCCGUUCACUUGAAGGACACAGUUGGAGUCGGACACAAGAUCCAAGAGGGAGUUAUUUUUAAACGAGAGCUUCAGGCAGAAAAUUCGAGUGGAUUUUCAACUCUAAAAAUAACUUUUUGGGGGGGAUAUUUUGAACCUUCUUUAUCUUGAAAAAUAACUCCAGAUAUUAUGACUCUAGCUGGAAGUUGACCUGAGCAAUGUAGGGUUUGCUGCAGUGAGAUUACCAAGGCACGAGUGUCUGGGAUUUAAAAAUGAUGGAUAUGUGUCCUGUGUGCUGCUGUGCUGGGAGGAGAGGAGCAGCAGCAGUCGUGGGGCUCUGUUGCUGCUGUCAUUGGUGCAGCCGUUCACUCCUGCAGCUACCUUCCCUCAACAUACUGUGUCUUCCCUCACCUGCAAUGAACAACUAUGAACAAUACUUCUCCUGCGAUGAGGAACAGUGAAUAACACCUCUCUCUCUCUCUCUCUCUCUCUCUCUCUCUCUCUCUCUCUCUCUCUCUCUCUCUCUCUCUCUCUCUCUCUCUCUCUCU